Molecule: ribosomal RNA, 253 nt
Filed under: uncultured bacterium
Lineage: Bacteria
Description: partial 16S ribosomal RNA
Rfam family: Bacterial small subunit ribosomal RNA
Source: RNAcentral
GACGUAGGUGGCGAGCGUUGUUCGGAAUCACUGGGCAUAAAGCGCACGUAGGCGGCUGGGUCAGUCGGAUGUGAAAUACCUCGGCUCAACCGAGGAACUGCGUCCGAUACUGCCUGGCUUGAGGUCCGGAGGGGAGAGUGGAAUUCCCGGUGGAGCGGUGAAAUGCGUAGAGAUCGGGAAGAACGCCGGCGGCGAAAGCGACUCUCUGGUCGGAAUCUGACGCUGAGGUGCGAAAGCUAGGGGAGCAAACGGG